RNAcentral lists this ribosomal RNA (439 nucleotides) under bacterium 6-1B. Its description in RNAcentral is "bacterial SSU rRNA". It matches the Rfam family "Bacterial small subunit ribosomal RNA", at positions 12 to 454 of the family's 1533-position model. The record is from RNAcentral.
UUUGACAUGGCUCAGGACGAACGCUGGCGGCGUGCCUAAUACAUGCAAGUCGAGCGAGACUCUUCGGAGUCUAGCGGCGGACGGGUGAGUAACACGUGGGCAACCUGCCUGUAAGACUGGGAUAACACCGGGAAACCGGUGCUAAUACCGGAUAAUCCUUUUCCUCUCAUGAGGAAAAGCUGAAAGUCGGUUUCGGCUGACACUUACAGAUGGGCCCGCGGCGCAUUAGCUAGUUGGUGAGGUAACGGCUCACCAAGGCGACGAUGCGUAGCCGACCUGAGAGGGUGAUCGGCCACACUGGGACUGAGACACGGCCCAGACUCCUACGGGAGGCAGCAGUAGGGAAUCUUCCACAAUGGACGAAAGUCUGAUGGAGCAACGCCGCGUGAGCGAUGAAGGCCUUCGGGUCGUAAAGCUCUGUUGUUAGGGAAGAACAAGU